ACCAGGCUGGCUCAGUCGGUAGAGCACGUGACUCUUGAUCUUGGGGUUGUAAGUUCAAGCCCCACGUUGAGUG
This 73-nucleotide transfer RNA is filed under the name Ailuropoda melanoleuca (giant panda). It matches the Rfam family "tRNA". Rfam says of the family: Transfer RNA (tRNA) molecules are approximately 80 nucleotides in length. Their secondary structure includes four short double-helical elements and three loops (D, anti-codon, and T loops). The record is from Rfam by way of RNAcentral. Lineage: Eukaryota; Metazoa; Chordata; Mammalia; Carnivora; Ursidae.